This 81-nucleotide transfer RNA is filed under the name Thermoplasmata archaeon. Its description in RNAcentral is "tRNA-Ser". It matches the Rfam family "tRNA". From Rfam's summary of the family: Transfer RNA (tRNA) molecules are approximately 80 nucleotides in length. Lineage: Archaea; Methanobacteriati; Thermoplasmatota; Thermoplasmata. The record is from RNAcentral.
AGAGGUAGCUAAGCCCGGUAAGGCGCGAGCCUGGAGAGCUCGUGGAGCUUCUGCUCCUCGGGGGUUCAAAUCCCCCCCUCU